UUGGAGGGCAAGUCUGGUGCCAGCAGCCGCGGUAAUUCCAGCUCCAAUAGCGUAUAUUAAAGUUGUUGCAGUUAAAAAGCUCGUAGUUGAAUUUCGGGACUAAUAUGUCGGUCGUACUUUGUACGUACUAGCAUUAUUGGUUUCUCCCUUCUGACGAACCACGAUGUCAUUAAUUUGGUGUCGUGGGAAAUCAGGACUGUUACUUUGAAAAAAUUAGAGUGUUUAAAGCAAGCUCGCGCUUGAAUACAUUAGCAUGGAAUAAUGAAAUAGGACGUUUGAUUCUAUUUUGUUGGUUUCUGGGAUCGACGUAAUGAUUAAUAGGGAUAGUUGGGGGCAUUAGUAUUCAAUUGUCAGAGGUGAAAUUCUUGGAUUUAUUGAAGACUAACUACUGCGAAAGCAUUUGCCAAGGAUGUUUUCAUUAAUCAAGAACGAAAGUUAGGGGAUCGAAGACGAUCAGAUACCGUCGUAGUCUUAACCAUAAACUAUGCCGACUAGGGAUCGGAUGAUGUUAAUUUUUUAAUGACUCAUUCGGCGCCUUACGGGAAAC
This 547-nucleotide ribosomal RNA is filed under the name uncultured Glomeromycotina. Its description in RNAcentral is "SSU rRNA". It matches the Rfam family "Eukaryotic small subunit ribosomal RNA", at positions 548 to 1098 of the family's 1831-position model. The record is from RNAcentral. Lineage: Eukaryota; Fungi; Glomeromycota.